GAGGCAGCGGGAGAGCUGGAUGCAUCGCUAUGUUCACCAGAUGAGGCUGGCGUUCGGGAUCAGUACCGGGAUGGUAGACCGAUGACCUAAUUGUGGAAACUCUUGUCGAGAGGUUUAUUGAUCUGACAGAAUGAAGGACUUUAUUUAACAACAGCAAAGGAUUAUGGAUUUAUUUGUGUCGAGACAUGUUUAUAUGAAAGCACCAGAACAUCACUGUAUCUGAAGAUCAAAAAGAUGGCUUGGUAAUCUGACCAACAUAAUUGCUGGUAGAGACAUUUGUCUAGUCUGACAUUAUGAAUGUGUUGUUCAGCUUCAGCAGCCUACCUGAAUUCUGUUAAAUGUAACUGAGGAUGAUCUUAGGUUAUAAACUUGUCAUUUGAAUAUGUUUCACAACAAUCUUCACAACACCUUCCCUGAAGUCAGAAAGUGACAAGCUUUUUAUCUGAUAAUACAGUUAGCCAACCUCAUGGAGUGCAACAACAUCAGACAAACUCUCAGCUCCAAUCCCUGUGGUGAGAGAAUGGAACAUCUACAGGAGAUACACUUUGGAGUCGCAAAGAAACAGGAAUGGCUCCAAAAUGGCUGUAGUUCUCUUUGAAGCCAAAGGUGGUCCUUGCCUGGCACUAGUAAGAGUACUCUUCACCCCUGCAGUUCCUAUGAUGUUAUCUUACAUGUCCUACUGUGUGCAACAUUAUCAAUUUUAUAACGGUUGUUGAGGGAACCUUCUGCUAUUUAAGGAGUAUGGUCAUGAGAUUCUAUCAAACAUUUUAAAAGCACACAGCAUUAGUCAGAUAAUUAGUGGAUAAGGAGCUGAGAAACUAUACUUUGAAACUUCAUUAGUUGCGUGACAUAUUUAUAAAUUGUCUGUUUUCAAAAGUGAAGCAGCUCUCCCCAUCUCAGUUCAGCAAUAUUUAAAAUCAUCUUCACAUUGCACGAAAAUAAAAGUGAGCAGCAUGUGCAGUUAUCAAGCCGGAUAAUAUAUGGUCUAUUAUAUUUCCGUGAUGUAUGACAGUCAAUAAGAACAUGUCAUCAGUCAUGGCAGCACAUUUUAAUUGAUUAUAAAUGGCAUGACAAUUUGUGAAACUUCUGGCCCUUCACUCUCUGUCAUUUAGAUCAAGAGUUUCAAAAUUUUUUCUAAUGUAUUGCAUUUGAUCUGGAGGCAUAACUUUGUCAUUCUGACUUGUUAAGGGGAAGGAAAAAAGGAACAGCUGGCUUGGUGAUCAUUAUGUACAAAGUAGGCAGUUUUGUAAAUUAAUAUAAAGGGAGUAGCUAUCACCCAAAAGCACUUAAACUGACCUGGAUGCAAAAAAAGAUGUGUUGGAUGAACACAGGGCCUAUUGUGGUGACACUUUCUUUAUUAAAGUAUAUCUUAGGAACAACUUCAACACUCGGGAUUAAUGCAAAAUUAUUUCCAUCUCAAUUGCCAUGUUUACCCUUCCCUGUCUAAAUCAUUAAUGUCUUGCUGGUAGCCAAGUUCCCCUUAAUUCAGCCCUUUCACUAAUCAGUGGCUAAAAUUUCAAAAAUAUGCUGUACUUAAAGUGAUGGAUUUCCAAUGGAAGUGGUAAAUUUGAAAAGUAGGUCAGCGAGCAACAUUCACAGGCCCACUAGGAGUUAAAUUCUUGAAGUUGCAUUUUUGUAGAAUUUGCCAAAUGAUUAUUUAAAUGAUGAGAUUUCAGUGAAUGUUACAAAUCUAAUUAUAAUAUUACAACGUAGGAGAUUUACAUUAGUUGGAAAACUAACUAAUGAAUCUCUAGUUUUUGAAAUUUAAAUAUUGCUCUAAUAAAAAGAUUACUGUAUUGCCAGAUA
Molecule: long non-coding RNA, 1806 nt
Organism: Rhincodon typus (whale shark)
Lineage: Eukaryota; Metazoa; Chordata; Chondrichthyes; Orectolobiformes; Rhincodontidae
Exons: 3
Source: RefSeq, a predicted model, not a curated record